This 650-nucleotide long non-coding RNA is filed under the name Brachypodium distachyon (stiff brome). Its description in RNAcentral is "long non-coding RNA (BDIS_LNC002091)". Lineage: Eukaryota; Viridiplantae; Streptophyta; Magnoliopsida; Poales; Poaceae. The record is from RNAcentral.
CAUCAAUGAAACAUGGGUUAUGCGGCAUAAAAAAGUAGAAUGUUGAAAACGUUUUUCAAAUACAAAUUCAACUGUAUAAUUUUGUGUCACAUAAAAUAAAUACUAUUGGUCUAAUUAGUGGUCAAGGUUGAAUCUCCAACUAUGUGGACACUCACUAUACAAGAACAGAGGAAAUAGAAAUUGCCUAAAUUGGAUAGCGUUCACUCAAAUUUUAUUGGUAAACUUUUACUUGUUCGUAUACCACUUGGUUUGUCCAUUAACUAUGCAAAAUAGAUAAUAUUUUAGGACUAAUAUACAUGGUUUUUUUAAAAGAAUAUCAAAUAGGAAGCAUGUUGAAAGUAGACUACAUUAGAACAAAUCAAAAAUAAAGUAUACAAGAGAGAAGGACGUUUGCGGUGCUUUGGCAAGGAGAUGGGAGUUGGUAGAGUUGUUCCUCAAGCAAAACCAAUUAAAACGGUGGAGACUUUUGUUACGGGGGCUAUCCAAACCUGUACAUAAUUUUUUUUUCCACUCUACACAGUGUUGGAGAUGAUGAAUCAUUAAUAUUCGGACUACUUAACAAUGGAAAAUACAAAGGAAAAAACAUUCAAGAUGAUAUAAAUUGAGAAAAAUUAAAAGAAAAAUGAACCAAAACAUCAAUAUUGAUCGCA